UUCCGGUUCCCUCGCGACGAUAAGCUGUGAACUCCGCCAGAUCCGGAAGGAAGCAACGGUAGCGGUGAUCUCGGGCGCCGGGGUGUGGCUGGGGCGG
Molecule: signal recognition particle RNA, 97 nt
Filed under: Pseudomonadota bacterium
Lineage: Bacteria; Pseudomonadati; Pseudomonadota
Description: Proteobacteria bacterium (cold seep metagenome) signal recognition particle sRNA small type
Rfam family: Bacterial small signal recognition particle RNA
About the family: The signal recognition particle (SRP) is a universally conserved ribonucleoprotein involved in the co-translational targeting of proteins to membranes.
Source: RNAcentral